Molecule: ribosomal RNA, 237 nt
Filed under: uncultured bacterium
Lineage: Bacteria
Description: partial 16S ribosomal RNA
Rfam family: Bacterial small subunit ribosomal RNA
Source: RNAcentral
AAUGACCUACGGGAGGCAGCAGUGGGGAAUAUUGGGCAAUGGGCGCAAGCCUGACCCAGCAACGCCGCGUGAAGGAAGAAGGCUUUCGGGUUGUAAACUUCUUUUCUCAGGGACGAAGCAAGUGACGGUACCUGAGGAAUAAGCCACGGCUAACUACGUGCCAGCAGCCGCGGUAAUACGUAGGUGGCAAGCGUUAUCCGGAUUUACUGGGUGUAAAGGGCGUGUAGGCGGGGACGC